Molecule: ribosomal RNA, 1875 nt
Filed under: Triticum aestivum (bread wheat)
Lineage: Eukaryota; Viridiplantae; Streptophyta; Magnoliopsida; Poales; Poaceae
Description: partial small subunit ribosomal RNA
Source: RNAcentral
AUGCCCGCGCUGGAGAUACCAUUAGGGUCAUAUAAAAGCCGAACUCGAGGGAGAAACAAGCCCAGAUCUACACACCGCCGAGGCGCCGACCGCCCGGUGAGCCAUCCAUCAUCACUGCUCGGAUCCGAUGGACACGGGCAAUCCUCCUUGACGCUACCGCCGUCUCAGAAAGGCAUCCGAUCUCUCGGCUGUGACCGACGCCUCCUCAUGCUCCAAACGGGUAUCCCUCUAUAUAUCCUUGCAUCCUUCCAAAGAUCUGUGCUUGGAUCAUUCUCAAGCUCCCUAGGAUGCAUAGGAACAAGGAACACAACACUUGUGAUGACAGGAUCAGCACCUUACGUACCUGACGACAUGCUAAUCAUGAUCCUUGACAAGCUAGAUGCACGCACAACAAUAAUCACCACCAUCCUUUCCAAGCGAUGGCUGCAUCUUCCUCGUGGGUCGCACACAAGUUAUUUCCUUUCUGUUCAUCAACUCCUCCCUCCACGCUACUACAGGCUGAAACAAAUCCUGAUGGAUGUCAAGGCAGGGUACCAAGCAGACAAGAAGAACACGCAGAAUCUGACUGAUUUUGUUGCUGUCAGAGGUCGGUAUGAGCAGUGGAUGGGGAGGAUCCGUCGCCUCUCAUCCGUCCUGCAACGCUAUGAGCGUCGCGCCAUGCGAUGCUACAUUAAACGGGUGAAUGCAUUUCUUCUGGCUCCCAGGAACGUGCUCCGACGCAGGUCUGUCAAGAAGCUGAGGAUUGAAAGCUUUAGGACGAGUAGCGGUUGCAUUGAUCAAUGGAUUACUGCAGCGAUUGCCGGAUGCGGCGUCGAAGAUUUAGAGCUUGCCUUUGAAGGCUUCGGGUGUCAUCUCUACGACUUCCGGCUUUUGGAUGGAUUAUUGCAGAAUGUGCGGCUGAAGCGGCUUGUGCUAUCACGUUGUUUCCAUCAUUUUGCGUUCAACUCCUUGUUGUUCCACUCACUCACGGAGCUCACGCUGUGCAAGAUUUUGGAUCUUGGAAGCGUUGGCGAUGUUCUAACCAACUGUGUGAAGCUUGUGGACUUCAGGCUCAAGUAUUCUUGUGUCUACUAUCCUGUUUUACGAAUCUGUGCCCCGGCAUCGAAGUUAAAGAGACUACAAGUGGACAACUGCAAAUUAGGGAAAUUUUACCUUAAUGCGCUGCCUUUCCUUGAAACUUUUGCUUGUCGGGGUCAGCCAACCAAAAUAUAUUAUGGUGAGGUGCCUCGACUUAGGCAGGUGAGUUUGAACUUCUUCUUGCAAAUUGGAGAUAAUGGCAGAAUCCCUAGCAUCAGCUACUUUCCCUUACUUGAUUAUAGAAUGUUGGGCUGUGAAGAUGAUUCCUCUGGUAGCAACAUGACAUAUCCGCUGAGCAAAUUCUUCAAAGGGAUGCCGCUGCUGGAGAAGCUUAUGUGGAUUGAGCCAACCGCCAUUCCCAGUGCGUUCAGUCAUCUCAGGAAGCUUUUCAUUGCCAACGUGCCGAUAUAUUGGGACAUACUCUGGAUUUUCAUCCUACUAGAUGCCGCACCUUGUUUGGAGUCGCUCCAUGUUCAUAUUGACAAGAGCUCAGAGAACAUGGGUGCUGGACUAGAUGUGCAAGGGGAAGAGUACCAUCUCCUGAAGGAACUAGUGGUCAUUGGCUUCAACGGUGUUAGUUGGCAGACUUGUUUUGUGAAGCGGAUGAUGAGGGCGUUGCCAAGGCUGAUGCGCAUUCAUCUUCUCGACGGGCAUGUUGUGGAAGAUGACGACCAGGAGCUUGGGAGCCUUGAAAUAGUCCCACAUCGGCGUGAGUGGGAGGAAUGUGAGAAAUUAGAGGUGAUUGAUGAUCUUGUAGAUGGAUUUUCUUUGCACUACUGGGAAAUAAUUUUAGAAUGA